UUGAGCGCUGGCGGCAUGCCUUACACAUGCAAGUCGAACGGCAGCACGGAGCUUGCUCUGGUGGCGAGUGGCGAACGGGUGAGUAAUAUAUCGGAACGUACCCUAGAGUGGGGGAUAACGUAGCGAAAGUUACGCUAAUACCGCAUACGAUCUAAGGAUGAAAGUGGGGGAUCGCAAGACCUCAUGCUCGUGGAGCGGCCGAUAUCUGAUUAGCUAGUUGGUAGGGUAAAAGCCUACCAAGGCAUCGAUCAGUAGCUGGUCUGAGAGGACGACCAGCCACACUGGAACUGAGACACGGUCCAGACUCCUACGGGAGGCAGCAGUGGGGAAUUUUGGACAAUGGGCGAAAGCCUGAUCCAGCAAUGCCGCGUGAGUGAAGAAGGCCUUCGGGUUGUAAAGCUCUUUUGUCAGGGAAGAAACGGUGAGAGCUAAUAUCUCUUGCUAAUGACGGUACCUGAAGAAUAAGCACCGGCUAACUACGU
This 482-nucleotide ribosomal RNA is filed under the name uncultured bacterium. Its description in RNAcentral is "bacterial SSU rRNA". It matches the Rfam family "Bacterial small subunit ribosomal RNA", at positions 30 to 506 of the family's 1533-position model. The record is from RNAcentral.